This 435-nucleotide ribosomal RNA is filed under the name uncultured bacterium. RNAcentral's name for it is "partial 16S ribosomal RNA". It matches the Rfam family "Bacterial small subunit ribosomal RNA", at positions 28 to 507 of the family's 1533-position model. The record is from RNAcentral.
GAUGAACGCUGGCGGUAUGCUUAACACAUGCAAGUCGAACGGACUCUUCGGAGUUAGUGGCGGACGGGUGAGUAACGCGUGAGAAUCUGGCUUUAGGUUCGGGACAACCACUGGAAACGGUGGCUAAUACCGGAUGUGCCGAGAGGUAAAAGAGAAAUUGCCUGAAGAUGAGCUCGCGUCUGAUUAGCUAGUUGGUGAGGUAAAGGCUCACCAAGGCAGCGAUCAGUAGCUGGUCUGAGAGGAUGACCAGCCACACUGGGACUGAGACACGGCCCAGACUCCUACGGGAGGAAGCAGUGGGGAAUUUUCCGCAAUGGGCGAAAGCCUGACGGAGCAAUACCGAGUGAGGGAAGAAGGCUCUUGGGUUGUAAACCUCUUUUCUUAGGGAAGAACAAAAUGACGGUACCUAAGGAAUCAGCAUCGGCUAACUCCGUG